UACGAAGGGGGCUAGCGUUGUUCGGAAUCACUGGGCGUAAAGCGCACGUAGGCGGAUUUUUAAGUCAGGGGUGAAAUCCCGAGGCUCAACCUCGGAACUGCCUUUGAUACUGAGGAUCUGGAGUCCGGGAGAGGUGAGCGGAACUGCGAGUGUAGAGGUGAAAUUCGUAGAUAUUCGCAAGAACACCAGUGGCGAAGGCGGCUCACUGGCCCGGAACUGACGCUGAGGUGCGAAAGCGUGGGUAGCAAACAGG
Molecule: ribosomal RNA, 253 nt
Filed under: uncultured bacterium
Lineage: Bacteria
Description: partial 16S ribosomal RNA
Rfam family: Bacterial small subunit ribosomal RNA
Source: RNAcentral